AAUGUUUUAUUAUUCUGCUCACUGGGCUCUUGUAGCUCACUCCUCUCCCUUAACCCCCAGGCUUGCAGGUACAGGGUAGACCAGGAGGUCAGCAAGAGUAAUGAAGUCUUGUGUAUGUAAUAGCUAGAAUGUGGACAUGACAAAUUGUAUAAUGAUGUAGAGUUGUGAAUAGUUAUGUAAUGUAAUGACAUUGAGGAUUAGAAAUUGUGCUUGACCCUAUGUGUAUGGUAUCCCUUUUAAUACAUGAUCUCAGAGGUUUUGUAAUGCUUAUGUAAACCAACUCAACACAUGUUAUGCCACCCAUUGGGGGCAUUGAUGAGUUCCCACAGAGGGGCAAAUGUUUAUGAUUAUG
This 352-nucleotide long non-coding RNA is filed under the name Manihot esculenta (cassava). RNAcentral's name for it is "long non-coding RNA (MESC_LNC008656)". The record is from RNAcentral. Lineage: Eukaryota; Viridiplantae; Streptophyta; Magnoliopsida; Malpighiales; Euphorbiaceae.